AUUGAACGCUGGCGGCAGGCCUAACACAUGCAAGUCGAGCGGAUGAAGGGAGCUUGCUCCUGGAUUCAGCGGCGGACGGGUGAGUAAUGCCUAGGAAUCUGCCUGGUAGUGGGGGAUAACGUCCGGAAACGGGCGCUAAUACCGCAUACGUCCUGAGGGAGAAAGUGGGGGAUCUUCGGACCUCACGCUAUCAGAUGAGCCUAGGUCGGAUUAGCUAGUUGGUGGGGUAAAGGCCUACCAAGGCGACGAUCCGUAACUGGUCUGAGAGGAUGAUCAGUCACACUGGAACUGAGACACGUGCCAGCACCCUAGGGGAGGCAGCGGUGGGAAAUAUUGAACAAGGGGCGAAAGCCUGAUCCAGCCAUGCCGGGUGGGUGAAGAAGGGCUUCGGUUUGUAAAGCACUUUAAGUGGGGAGAAAGGGAAGAAAGUUAAAACCUUGCUUUUUUGACGUUACCAAAAAAAUAAGCCCCGGCUAAUUUCGU
This 483-nucleotide ribosomal RNA is filed under the name uncultured bacterium. RNAcentral's name for it is "partial 16S ribosomal RNA". It matches the Rfam family "Bacterial small subunit ribosomal RNA", at positions 30 to 506 of the family's 1533-position model. The record is from RNAcentral.